GAAAUGCGAUAAGUAAUGUGAAUUGCAGAAUUCAGUGAAUCAUCGAAUCUUUGAACGCACCUUGCGCUCCUUGGUAUUCCUUGGAGCAUGCCUGUUUGAGUAUCAUGAAAUCUUCAAAGUAAAUCUUUUGUUAACUCAAUUGGUUUCUACUUUGGUAUUGGAGGUCUUUGCAGCUUCACAUCUGCUCCUCUUUGUUCAUUAGCUGGAUCUCAGUGUUAUGCUUGGUUCCACUCGGCGUGAUAAGUUAUCUAUCGCUGAGGACAUUGUAAAAGGUGGCCAAGGUAAAUGCAGAUGAACCGCUUCUAAUAGUCCAUUGACUUGGACAAUACUUUUAUGAUCUGAUCUCAAAUCAGGUAGGACUACCCGCUGAACUUAAGC
This 378-nucleotide unclassified non-coding RNA is filed under the name plant metagenome. RNAcentral's name for it is "partial contains 5.8S ribosomal RNA, internal transcribed spacer 2, and large subunit ribosomal RNA". The stretch from base 1 to 105 matches the Rfam family "5.8S ribosomal RNA", at positions 50 to 154 of the family's 154-position model. The record is from RNAcentral.